CACUAUGCCUAGCCCUAAACAUUAAUAGUACUUUACAACUGCUAUCCGCCUGGGUACUACGAGCAUCAGCUUAAAACCCAAAGGACUUGGCGGUGCUUUAGAUCCACCUAGAGGAGCCUGUUCUAGAACCGAUAACCCCCGUUCAACCUCACCCUUUCUUGUUUAUCCCGCCUAUAUACCACCGUCGUCAGCUUACCCUGUGAAGGCCCUAUAGUAAGCAAAAUUGGCAAAGCCCAAAACGUCAGGUCGAGGUGUAGCGUAUGAAAGGGGAAGAAAUGGGCUACAUUCUCUAAACAAGGGAAUCACGAAUAAUUCAUUGAAACAUGAAUCUGAAGGAGGAUUUAGCAGUAAGCGGAAAAUAGAGCGUUCCGCUGAAACUGGCCCUGAAGCGCGCACACACCGCCCGUCACUCUCCCCGAGCUUAAAGAAUUGCAAAUAAAUAAAACCCUAUAACUGCAAAGGGGAGGCAAGUCGUAA
RNAcentral lists this ribosomal RNA (477 nucleotides) under Naso hexacanthus (sleek unicornfish). RNAcentral's name for it is "partial small subunit ribosomal RNA". It matches the Rfam family "Bacterial small subunit ribosomal RNA", at positions 788 to 1491 of the family's 1533-position model. The record is from RNAcentral. Lineage: Eukaryota; Metazoa; Chordata; Actinopteri; Acanthuriformes; Acanthuridae.